UCCACCAGUCACCUGAUCCCCUCCACUGGAACCAGUCACCUGGUCCCCUCCACUGGAACCAGUCACCUGGUCCCCUCCACUGGAACCAGUCACCUGAUCCCCUCCACUGGAACCAGUCACCUGGUCCCCUCCACUGGAACCAGUCACCUGGUCCCCUCCACUGCUUGGGAACCAGUCACCUGGUCCCCUCCACUGCUUGGGAACCAGUCACCUGGUCCCCUCCACUGGAACCAGUCACCUGGUCCCCUCCACUGGAACCAGUCACCUGGUCCCCUCCACUGGAACCAGUCACCUGGUCCACUCCACUGGAACCAGUCACCUGGUCCCCUCCACUGGAACCAGUCACCUGGUCCACUCCACUGCUUGGAAACCAGUCACCUGGUCCCCUCCACUGGAACCAGUCACCUGGUCCACUCCACUGCUUGGAAACCAGUCACCUGGUCCCCUCCACUGCAACCAGUCACCUGGUCCCCUCCACUGCAACCAGUCACCUGGUCCCCUCCACUGCAACCAGUCACCUGGUCCCCUCCACUGGAACCAGUCACCUGGUCCCCUCCACUGGAACCAGUCACCAGUCACCUGGUCCCCUCCACUGGAACCAGUCACCUGGUCCCCUCCACUGGAACCAGUCACCUGGUCCCCUCCACUGGAACCAGUCACCUGGUCCCCUCCACUGGAACCAGUCACCUGGUCCCCUCCACUGGAACCAGUCACCUGGUCUACUCCACUGCUUGGAAACCAGUCACCUGGUCCCCUCCACUGGAACCAGUCACCUGGUCCACUCCACUGCUUGGGAACCAGUCACCUGGUCCAUUCCACUGGAACCAGUCACCUGGUCCACUCCACUGCUUGGGAACCAGUCCAGACCUGUCUGAAUGGAUCUGUAUGUCUGCGUUUUUGUUUUUAUUUGAUUUUAAUGUUAAUCCAAUUUUUUUUUUGUAUUUUGGCUGGUUUGUUUUAUGUUCUGGAAUUUGCAGAGGCCUUAGUCUUUACACUCUAAACCUUUAG
This 1008-nucleotide long non-coding RNA is filed under the name Salmo trutta (river trout). Its description in RNAcentral is "lncRNA (ENSSTUG00000049635.1)". The record is from RNAcentral. Lineage: Eukaryota; Metazoa; Chordata; Actinopteri; Salmoniformes; Salmonidae.